Long non-coding RNA from Anolis carolinensis (green anole), 1772 nucleotides. RefSeq lists it as uncharacterized. Lineage: Eukaryota; Metazoa; Chordata; Lepidosauria; Squamata; Anolidae. The record is from RefSeq and is a predicted model, not a curated record. The transcript has 2 exons.
GGGAGCUGCGCAUGCGCGGGGGAUGAAGGCAAGCUGACUGGGGGAAGCUGCGCAUGCGUGAAGGAUAGGCGCGGGAAGGAGGCACUUUUUUCCCCUCUGAGGGAGAGAUGAACGCGCUGAAGGACGCUCUGCACAUGCUCAAGGGAAAGCCUCGGCGAGGAGAUUUUGUAGGCUUCGACUCCCUUCGCCACGCUCAUCCCUUGCAGAUGUACAGAAGAUGCUGGGGCAGAACUCUUGAACUGCUUUCACACAAGGAAACAUCUUGGCUCUGCAUUCUACACGGAGGAAUCUAAUCCAAAAUUAUGCAAAGCUUCCAAAGUAGAUGGCGAGUUGCUGUCGUGAGAUUACCCUACUUAAAACAUACGAUACUGAAUGGAGGAGCCGCAUGGCUAUUUAUAACAUGGGCAUUGUUGUAAGAAUUGAGCGGGGUCUGUGGCUGCGCUCUUGACAGCACUGCUUCCCGUAGAAGAGAAAGUGCCUUCUUUGUCAUUCCAGCACAUUACGGCUGCGGGUUUCAAAUCAGGGAACAUCUCCAGAGGCAGGCUGACGGUUGGACUGGAAGCAUCUCUGUUGUGCAGCAUUGCGCAUGGUGAACCGGUCCCUGUUUCCAUGGUGAUGGCAUCUCGCUCAGUGGAUGUGCAACCCACCCGUUUUCAAAAACACGGCCCCAACAGGCAGCCCUUCUAUUACAUGGAAGGAAGGAAAGAAAACCUGGUCAUUAAAUACAAACCUGAUCAUUAAAACAUCACCUCCCUCUGUAUUAAAUCCAUUGCAAUACAUCAGAGGGAGGGAAAAAAAUAAUAGGUAUGUGUUUCCCCAUUUUAUUUCCUGACCAUUCUCAACAGAAGCUACUCCAAAUUUCUGCUUGUUGCUUAUCUUGUCCUCACAAAAUUAUUAUUAUUAUUAUUAUUAUUAAACUGUAUUUGUACCCCGCUAGCAUCUCCCGAAGGACUCGAUGCGGCUUACAAAGGCCAAGGCCUCAACACACAAUAUAACAAUACAAAACAAAGGCAAAUUAAAAGAAUUAAAACAGUAUAAACCACAAGCAAUAACAAUACGCUAAAACACAAUAGAACUGGGCCGGGCCAGAGUAAUGGGUACAAGAUUAAAAGUGCUGAUGUUAACUUUUGUUUUAUUACCUUAUUGUGUUUUAACCUUUGUACAUUGUGCUAAUGUAUUUGUGUUGUUACUUUUGUAACAACAUGAGCUGCCCCGAGUCCCCGCAGGGAGAUGUUGGCGGGGUAUAAAUAAAGUUUAUUAUUAUUAUUAUUACUUUCCUGUAGAAAAACUCACCUCUACCGUAACUAUCUCAGAAAUCCAUGCAGGAUUUUGCCACAGAUACAGCAAAGGCUUGCUGCCAGCCGUGGCUUGUCUAGGUUUACGCAGCAGGAAGUAUUGGUAGCAAAUGCAAUUUUCCUGUAGCCAGGUUACAUGUGCAAGAAAAUUGCUUGUUUCAAGCACCUUUAUAUGAGAUCUCCCGAAGGAAACAUGAAGCCAAAAAAAGUGUUGUAUUUGCCUGCAAGGAUUCAUUUGUUUGUAACGCCUCAAUGUUGACUCCCUGCUUAAAUAGGGAUCUGUGAGGAUCCACUAAGUGUUGCCUAGGUUCCACAAACUGUUCUAUGUAUUUUAUAAAAAAAUACAUUUUAAUAUUUAUAGACAUGCAUUUUAAUGUGUGUAUUUAUAGAAUAUUUUCAAUGUUUAUGUUUUCAUUAUGCUGUAACCCACCUUGUGGUGAGGUGGGUAAGAAAUAAAAUAUUAUCAGGCAUUUUCAA